RNAcentral lists this ribosomal RNA (1372 nucleotides) under uncultured bacterium. Its description in RNAcentral is "bacterial SSU rRNA". It matches the Rfam family "Bacterial small subunit ribosomal RNA", at positions 28 to 1381 of the family's 1533-position model. The record is from RNAcentral.
GAUGAACGCUGGCGGCGUGCCUAAUACAUGCAAGUCGAGCGAACGGACGAGAAGCUUGCUUCUCUGAUGUUAGCGGCGGACGGGUGAGUAACACGUGGAUAACCUACCUAUAAGACUGGGAUAACUUCGGGAAACCGGAGCUAAUACCGGAUAAUAUUUUGAACCGCAUGGUUCAAAAGUGAAAGACGGUCUUGCUGUCACUUAUAGAUGGAUCCGCGCUGCAUUAGCUAGUUGGUAAGGUAACGGCUUACCAAGGCAACGAUGCAUAGCCGACCUGAGAGGGUGAUCGGCCACACUGGAACUGAGACACGGUCCAGACUCCUACGGGAGGCAGCAGUAGGGAAUCUUCCGCAAUGGGCGAAAGCCUGACGGAGCAACGCCGCGUGAGUGAUGAAGGUCUUCGGAUCGUAAAACUCUGUUAUUAGGGAAGAACAUAUGUGUAAGUAACUGUGCACAUCUUGACGGUACCUAAUCAGAAAGCCACGGCUAACUACGUGCCAGCAGCCGCGGUAAUACGUAGGUGGCAAGCGUUAUCCGGAAUUAUUGGGCGUAAAGCGCGCGUAGGCGGUUUUUUAAGUCUGAUGUGAAAGCCCACGGCUCAACCGUGGAGGGUCAUUGGAAACUGGAAAACUUGAGUGCAGAAGAGGAAAGUGGAAUUCCAUGUGUAGCGGUGAAAUGCGCAGAGAUAUGGAGGAACACCAGUGGCGAAGGCGACCCUCUGGUCUGUAACUGACGCUGAUGUGCGAAAGCGUGGGGAUCAAACAGGAUUAGAUACCCUGGUAGUCCACGCCGUAAACGAUGAGUGCUAAGUGUUAGGGGGUUUCCGCCCCUUAGUGCUGCAGCUAACGCAUUAAGCACUCCGCCUGGGGAGUACGACCGCAAGGUUGAAACUCAAAGGAAUUGACGGGGACCCGCACAAGCGGUGGAGCAUGUGGUUUAAUUCGAAGCAACGCGAAGAACCUUACCAAAUCUUGACAUCCUUUGACAACUCUAGAGAUAGAGCCUUCCCCUUCGGGGGACAAAGUGACAGGUGGUGCAUGGUUGUCGUCAGCUCGUGUCGUGAGAUGUUGGGUUAAGUCCCGCAACGAGCGCAACCCUUAAGCUUAGUUGCCAUCAUUAAGUUGGGCACUCUAAGUUGACUGCCGGUGACAAACCGGAGGAAGGUGGGGAUGACGUCAAAUCAUCAUGCCCCUUAUGAUUUGGGCUACACACGUGCUACAAUGGACAAUACAAAGGGCAGCGAAACCGCGAGGUCAAGCAAAUCCCAUAAAGCUGUUCUCAGUUCGGAUUGUAGUCUGCAACUCGACUACAUGAAGCUGGAAUCGCUAGUAAUCGUAGAUCAGCAUGCUACGGUGAAUACGUUCCCGGGUCU